AACAAACGCUGGCGGCGUGCCUAACACAUGCAAGUCGUACGAGAAAGGGUCCUUCGGGACCUGAGUAAAGUGGCGCACGGGUGAGUAGCGCGUGGAUAAUCUACCCUUCAGUUGGGAACAACUCAUCGAAAGGUGGGCUAAUACCGAAUAAUACUGCUCGACCUUGGUCGAGCAGCCAAAGAGAGCCUCUGCUUGCAAGCCCUCGCUGAAGGAUGAGUUCGCGUACCAUUAGCUUGUUGGUAGGGUAAUGGCCUACCAAGGCGACGAUGGUUAGCUGGUCUGAGAGGAUGAUCAGCCACACUGGAACUGAGACACGGUCCAGACUCCUACGGGAGGCAGCAGUGAGGAAUCUUGCGCAAUGGGGGAAACCCUGACGCAGCAACGCCGCGUGAGUGAGGAAGGGUCUUCGGAUCGUAAAGCGUCUGUCAGUUGGAAGAAAUGUCUGAGAGUCAAUCCCUUUCAGGCUUGACGGUACCAACAGAGGAA
Molecule: ribosomal RNA, 486 nt
Filed under: uncultured bacterium
Lineage: Bacteria
Description: bacterial SSU rRNA
Rfam family: Bacterial small subunit ribosomal RNA
Source: RNAcentral